This 254-nucleotide ribosomal RNA is filed under the name uncultured bacterium. RNAcentral's name for it is "partial 16S ribosomal RNA". It matches the Rfam family "Bacterial small subunit ribosomal RNA", at positions 524 to 776 of the family's 1533-position model. The record is from RNAcentral.
UACGUAGGGGGCGAGCGUUGUCCGGAUUUAUUGGGCGUAAAGAGCUCGUAGGCGGUUGGGUAAGUCGGGUGUGAAAACUCAGGGCUCAACUCUGAGACGCCACUCGAUACUGCCCUGACUCGAGUCCGGUAGGGGAGCGUGGAAUUCCCGGUGUAGCGGUGAAAUGCGCAGAUAUCAGGAGGAACACCGGUGGCGAAGGCGGAUCUCUGGGCCAUUACUGACGCUGAGGAGCGAAAGCGUGGGGAGCGAACAGG